This is a non-coding RNA of Acanthosepion pharaonis, 109 nucleotides long. The record is from the annotation of a GenBank genome assembly. Lineage: Eukaryota; Metazoa; Mollusca; Cephalopoda; Sepiida; Sepiidae.
GGCCACAUCAUGUUGAAACACCGGGUACUGUAUUAUCACCAAAGUUAAGCAACAUUGAGCUUGAUUAGUACCUAUAUAGGUGACCUCUCGGGAACAUCGGGUGCUGUAA